GCCAUGUGACCCUUCCGGUGGGGCCGGCCAUGCGCACUGAGCUAGGAGUCAUUUGCAGCUCAAUGCUCUGUGACCUGUCAGGUCUAGUCCCUUUGCUGAGCCUGUUUUGUCAUCUCUUUAGAGCCAAGAAUAAGAUGGACACGGUUGAAACUUUCAUUCCAGGGUCCGGGGAUGAUGGGGCUGAACUAAACGGCAUCUCCUCCCUUCUUUUGCCUUAGACACCAAUGCACCAGGUGGACCACAGGCUGGCUGAGCUGGAGGAUGGAGGAACCCCUCUGGGACCCUCAUACCAACCUGUGACCCAGGAGCCCCUUGAUUCAGCUGGGUCAACUUCCCCAGGUUUGGCUCCCAGAAUUUACUGGGCCGAGAGCCCAGGAUGGGCUGGGCACAUCUACUUGACAUUUGCUUGCACAAAAGGAUGGUCUCCAGGAGCCCUUUCUAGGACCACAGCUGGGAACGCUGUAGCCCUGAUAUUCUUUAAGACUGCUCUGGCUCUCUCUCCUCCGGGCAGGGACCCCACCUUGGAGUGGACGGGUCUGGACCUGAGACCGAGGGCUGUCUUCUGGUCCUGUCUGAAGGUGGCGGUAGGUGGAGCUCGAGGCUCAUGGCAGAGCUGGGCCAGGGCGCUGGGCUCUUCACCUGGUCCUGGCAGGCGGGCGGGCACUGGGGAGGCUCAGCGUCAGCGGCUGUGACUUGAGGUAAAAAUAAUCAGGGAAGGACAGCUGCUUCCUUGUCAGCAACCAAGAGGGAAAUAAAGCUCAUGUCCCCUCCAGCGAAAACCUGCUCUCCAGGUCCCCAGGCUCCUGCCACCAACUGCUCGACGUCUGCGUGCCAAUCCAAUUUGAACGCCUGCGAUUCCCCCCAGAGAGGGCUUAUUUUAACUUCAUCAAGCACCGAGAAAAACAUCCAGACUAGAGUAAGUGGGAGGAAGGAGCAGCUGCUUUAGGGCUCAGGCCAGGAAAGGGGUCCAUGGCUUCUGUCCCGCUUGUGGUUGGACUUGGGGUCCCCUCCUCCUAAUCUGGUUCAAAAAUUGCCCAUGUGGUUAAUUCAGCCAAAGCUCGAUGAGCAUCUAGUAGGUGUUCCCUGAAAUCAAGUGGGGGAGAUAACAACGCGACUCUGCUCAGAAGUUCCUCUCUGAUGUCCUCUGAUGUUCUCGCCUCCUCUCCUGUUCCCUCUCUCUUCUCCAGCCCCUGCUCUGGGGCUGUGCCAGGCUUUUCACGAAGGCCCCGA
Long non-coding RNA from Lutra lutra (Eurasian river otter), 1230 nucleotides. RefSeq lists it as uncharacterized. The transcript has 3 exons. Lineage: Eukaryota; Metazoa; Chordata; Mammalia; Carnivora; Mustelidae. The record is from RefSeq and is a predicted model, not a curated record.